GACGAACGCUGGCGGCGUGCUUAACACAUGCAAGUCGAACGGAAAGGCCCUGCUUUUGUGGGGUGCUCGAGUGGCGAACGGGUGAGUAACACGUGAGUAACCUGCCCUUGACUUUGGGAUAACUUCAGGAAACUGGGGCUAAUACCGGAUAGGAGCUCCUGCUGCAUGGUGGGGGUUGGAAAGUUUCGGCGGUUGGGGAUGGACUCGCGGCUUAUCAGCUUGUUGGUGGGGUAGUGGCUUACCAAGGCUUUGACGGGUAGCCGGCAUGAGAGGGUGAUCGGGCACAUUGGGACUGAGAUACGGCCCAGACUCCUACGGGAGGCAGCAGUGGGGAAUAUUGCACAAUGGGCGGAAGCCUGAUGCAGCAACGCCGCGUGCGGGAUGACGGCCUUCGGGUUAUAAACCGCUUUCGCCUGUGACGAAGCGUGAGUGUCGGUAAUGGGUAAAGAAGCACCGGCUAACUACGUG
RNAcentral lists this ribosomal RNA (468 nucleotides) under uncultured bacterium. RNAcentral's name for it is "partial 16S ribosomal RNA". It matches the Rfam family "Bacterial small subunit ribosomal RNA", at positions 28 to 507 of the family's 1533-position model. The record is from RNAcentral.